Molecule: long non-coding RNA, 299 nt
Organism: Rhipicephalus microplus (southern cattle tick)
Lineage: Eukaryota; Metazoa; Arthropoda; Arachnida; Ixodida; Ixodidae
Source: RefSeq, a predicted model, not a curated record
GGGCCCGGUGACGUCUUGCUGCAGCGGUAGCCUUGAGUGCCAGCAUCAGUCCUGUCCCAUCGCUGCUGUUCUGAACACGAGCAAGCUCCUCUCCAAGGCCCUUCACGAUAUCAAGGCUGGCCACCAAAAACAGUGUGAACCUCAGUGCUAAGGGCUUGAAUGCCACUGAGUUGUAGUGCCACCAACAGCGAGGGGAUUGCGUCGUGAUGGAAGAAGAGGAUGCGCGUGAUCACGUGCGAUGCAGCAGCAAUAAUGGCGCGAGGGGGCAGAAAAUAAAGAAAACAUUGGUUGUGUGAAAA